CACGUAGGGCGCAAGCGUUGUCCGGAAUUAUUGGGCGUAAAGAGCUCGUAGGCGGUCUGUUGCGUCCGCUGUGAAAACUCGGGGCUUAACCCCGAGCCUGCAGUGGAUACGGGCAGACUAGAGGUAGGUAGGGGAGAAUGGAAUUCCCGGUGUAGCGGUGGAAUGCGUAGAGAUCCGGAAGAACACCGGUGGCGAAGGCGGUCUGCUGGGCCAAGACUGACGCUGAGGCGCGACAGCGUGGGGAGCAAACAGG
Molecule: ribosomal RNA, 253 nt
Filed under: uncultured bacterium
Lineage: Bacteria
Description: partial 16S ribosomal RNA
Rfam family: Bacterial small subunit ribosomal RNA
Source: RNAcentral